ACUACACGAUAACAACCAGUU
Molecule: non-coding RNA, 21 nt
Filed under: Mus musculus (house mouse)
Lineage: Eukaryota; Metazoa; Chordata; Mammalia; Rodentia; Muridae
Source: RNAcentral